CUCUUUCUUUCUCUCCCCCUCCCUCUCUCCCCCUCCCGCUCUCUUCUCCCUCUCCCUCCAAGUCUGGCACUGAACGCGAACUGUUUUGCUUUGCUCCGGGAAGAGUGCAGACACAUAACGUGAAAUCCCGAGCUUUUUGCGUGGUGCAUUUAAAAUGCUUCCUUAUUUAUAUUACCCUCAUUCCCUCACCUCUCCCACCCCCUCACCAGUCCUUCCAAAUUUCCCUAGAAAUCUGUGUAAAGCAUGCGGAGGGGAAAAAACAUUUGCACAAAAAGUGAAGGAGCUCGCCAAGGUAGGUUCUACCAUGCACUGUCUUGUGUUUGGCUCUUGCAAAGUUUAUGAUGUCAGUUGGUGAAUGUUUGGAGGAGUAGAUCUGUCUGGCCAUGAUUACUGUCUUUUUUCAUGGAACAGCAAUAUUUGUACAAAUUGCCUAGACUUCUUGGGUAGGCUUUCCUGGGGUCUUGUGUGUGUGGAUUCUGCAGGAGGCAUGCCAGUUGGAAGACAAUCCUGUGGUGUUCAACUGGGGAAGGGAUGCUGUGCUGUCACCUCCCCCCCACACCAGUGUUUUGUGCUGUGGGAAUGGGAGGCUGGAGGGGGAUUCUGUAGUGGGCAAGUGCUUAUUCUACUUUGCCAUAUUUUGGACUGAUUCUCAUUCACUGAGCGUUUUCAUUCUUGUAAUUAUUUUGCAUGUGAAAAUCUGGUUCCAAAAAGGUUUCAUGAAGUCAGAGCAAAGUGAUGGUGGGGGGAGAAAGAGAGUCAGGGAAUGGUGGUGGUGAUGAUAGUGGUAAUAUUUCUUGCACAGAGAAUUUAAUCUUCUCACUUCCCACUAUUUGGAGAAAAUGGUAAGUCUUUAGUGGGUCUGAGCAAAAUAGUUUUUGUUUAAAACCUUAUUAGUGGGUAAAAUGAAAUUUAAAAACAAAACAAAACAAAAAGAAAAACCAUUUCCAUUGCUAGAGCAAAAACUGCUACAGCUCACAACCACCUGUAGAGGGAAAUCUUUAUGCAUGAUUUCUUAGGGCCGGUUGUGGAGAGGAAAACAGCCAGAAAAGGCACCUGGCAAACUUUGCGGUAGGAAGCCCAGAGGGGCCAGCCCGCAAGGUGGAAGGUUACAUCGUGGGGGAGGCAGGGGUCCAGCGAAGGCUGGAGCCUGGCCAGGGUCACUUGCUCACAGUUUGGGAAGCUGCAGAGUUGGCCUUCUGCUUGGGGGGUGAGGGGCAGUGCUAAGAUGGGUGAACCAGAGAAGGAGAAGCCUGAUGGGAGCCAGGUCUGGCAGGGUGUGGGGGGCGCGGGGAGUGCGUUUGAUGAGGCUCGGAAUUGUAUGGUGCCUAAUGCUGGGUGGAGGAGGAGAGGUCAGAGGCCAGGUUUUCCCUCCCGCCCCAAGUCUUUCCUGCGGCUGCACAAAGCGAGGUGGUUAUCAACAAGUGUUUCUCCUGAGAAGAUUAGUUUUGACAGGGACUUCAAGGGGUUUUCUAAUCUGGGUAAAUCCACCAGGGCUUUAUUGUGUGUAGCAAAGAGUCAUUCUUUGUUGAGAAGGACCUCGGAGGAGAGAGGUGAUGGGAUGGAGGAGGGGGCUUUUGAACAGCGGCCAUUUGACCUUGGGGGCCAGAGUUCAAAUCCUCCAGAGGGUUGAAAAGCUGUCAUCAUUAUUCCUCCUCCCACUCAGCGUCUUCCAUCCUAAGCUUUAUGUUUAAUGGGAAAAAUUCAGCGCCUGGUGUUGGCCAAACCUCGUCAGUGGGAAUUCCAUGUGUCUGAGAGCAGAUUUUUUUUUUUUUAAUCUAGGGAAGCGGGCAGCACUCAGCUGUAGUACUGUAUUUUUUUUCCCCCUGCAAAUGAUCUUCUAGGAAAGCUGAAUCACCUCCACUCUGAAGAGCAGCCACUUCUAGGAGGUGGAACACAAGCCUCAUGGGGGUGGGGGGAUACCCUUCAUGAUCUUUAAAUAGAAACUGAGGGGGUACCAUUUCAAUAUCUGGUUAAACUGAACCUGAAGGUAAAGAGCAGUGGGUGUGUGGGUUGGAAAGAGAAGACCACCUGGGCUGGGAUAUACUUUGGAAGGAGCAAGUUUGUUUGUGUGUGGGGGGGUGGGUGUUUUCCUCCUGGGGGGGAGGAGUGUCACCAAAUUAAUAUGAGAAGGGAAUCUCUUCCAGCCAAAAGGUGGGAGAUUUGGGGAGGACACUUGGAAAUUAAAAUAGGACACCAUUGCCACACCCUCUAGGACCAGAAUAACCAACAGGCAGAGGACAAAGAAAUGGGGGCAACGUGUGGCACAGACUGGUGUCAGUCUCUGUUGGCGUGAAGCUUUAUCCAGCUAAAGAAAGGAGAGAGGAUGGGGACUCAGUUCUUACAGACCUGCCAGGCCAGCAUGCCUGAAGUCCUGCGAAAUGCCCCGUCAUUUUUUUUGGCCAGUGGAAGGAGGGGGAUGGUCUUUCACAGUCUGGGAGUCAUUGAUGUCACAGGUUGCUCUUCUCAGAAGGAAAUUGUUUCUGUUCUCUACUUAAAGCCCACAAAGAUUUGUCUACUUUUAAUUAUAAGGGAAAGUGGUUAUGAGAAAAAAAUCUAAUGUUGGAGCUUCAGCCAUGUGUCCUCCAAAGUCCCGCAGACCCAUCAGCAUCUGUCUCCACUCUCCUGAGGGGACCCAGUUGCAAAAGGCCACCAGACCAAUAUACACUCCUUGCCACCUUUUUUCACUGAAGGUACUUUACCUUCAUCAACCUGCGCCCCCAAAUGCACAUAAAGGCCACCUCUCUCGAGUUCUGCAGUGCCUAGUCACAUGUCAUGUGCAGACAAGGAUGGGCAGUGAAUGUUCUUACAUAGGUGCAGAGGCCACAAGAACACACAUGUGUGUGCCCAGGGUCCUGUCCGCAACUGAGUUCCUGAGCAGCAUGCCAGGGAGCCAACCUCCUCCCUCCCGUGUCAAGUCUAAAGAUGCCAAUCAAGAAACACCAGUCUAGGGGUGGACCUGACGUCCCUGAGUGUAUGUGGUGAACCUGAAUUUGCCUUGGGUUUCCUCAUACUCAUUCAGGAGUGUCAGUUGCCCCUUCAUGCAACGCUGGAGAACGUUCCUGCAUGCAGAGGUCUACCCAUUUGUAAGAAGAAGGAAGCCCAACUUCCCUCGUCAUCAUCUUGGAUGAGUCCUGCGGCUUCCACUCCAUUUACCAAAAGAAAAAUAAGGGCAGGAGCAGGGCCAGCUGAUGUGAUUUGUGGGAUCCUAAACAAACUGAAAGUGCAGGAUCACUCAUUUGAAGUAUAGGAAGAGCGCGUGCCAUUAAAGGUACUAAAACAAAGUUUUUUUCCUUUCUGCCGCAGUCUCUGGACUUGUCGUGGUGUUUCUUAUUUGCUGUCCAAUGUCACUAAAUUCAAAAAGUUAAAAUUUUAAAUUAUUAGCAUGAAUUUUACCAUUCAUCUUUCUAUUGUGCAGUGCCAGGGUUUUUGUUUGUUUGUUUGUUUGUUUUGGUCUUUCUUUUUUAGGACCUGGGAUUGAACCCAGGAGCACGAAAGCACUGAACCACAUCCCCUGCCCCCGCCCCGCUUUUUAAAAUUUCUUAGUUGUAGUUGGACACAAUGCGUUUAUUUUAUUUAUUUAUUUUUUAUGUGGUGCUGAGGAUGGAACCCAGUGCCUCAUACGUGCUAGGCGAGCGCUCUAUCAAGGAGCUACAACCCCAGCCCCCCUGCCCUUUUUUAAUAUUUUAUUUUGAGAUGGGGUUUUGUUAAGUUGCUUAGGGCCUCACUAAGUUGCUGAGGCUGGCUUCAAACUUGCAGAGCCUCCUGCCUCAGCCUCCUGAGCCACUGGGUUUACAGGCGUGCGCCACUGCACCCUGCACAGGACCAGUUUCAAAUGCAGAAAUGAUAGCCUUUGAUUCAUUUGCAGACUCAUGGAAAUUAUACAACUCAUAACAGGAAAUCAGGCCAUACGUGCCUGGGUAUUUCAUCCAUACUAGAACAAAGGAGACAUUGAAUACAAUGAACUCAACUAGUUUUAUUUUAUUUCCUGAUAUGAGCACACCCUACUGGGCCUCUCACCCUUUAGCUUGCUGUUGAAUAGGGAAAGUCCCAAAGGUAAAAGAACCUUUGCUCUGUCAUCACUUUCCUUGUAUGUCACCAUUUUCACCAUACCCUAGGGGGAUGGCAAGUACAGGGAAGGAACAUGAAUAAGAAAUAAUGUGCUUAGGGUUCCUUGGUCAUUAGUGUCAUUUAGAACACCAUUGCCUUCUUUCUGCAUUCAAAGCAUCUGGUUCCUACAGAAAGCUGCAUAGAGUACCCAGAAAAAAAGAAGAAAAGGAACUAGUCUUGCUUAUGCUGUUACAUAACCUUUACUAGACUUUAAGGCUCUUGCAGGGACAGUCCAGCUAGUGGGCAGGAGACCAAUCCAUGACUUAUUUACUGUUUAUGAAUGAGCUUAGCACAGUGUUUGACCUCUUAGCGUUGUUGUGUCCUGAUUGCCUCAAUCACGGACUUACAGUCUACUUACUUUGCUCACAGGGCACUGCCAACACUGUGGUGCAGCAAGGACAGGUGGGCAUGCAUUGUGCCUAUCUUCUCCCUUCACUCCUGUUCUCCAUGAGCUCAUAGACAUCACUUACCAAACACAAGUUCAAAGAUAAAAUUACUAAGAAUGUCAAGGCAACGGCAGUUCGAUUCUUAAACCAAAUAUGUAGUCUUUUUGAGCACAGGGCCCUGCAUGAUGACUACAGAUGUCAUACCCUUAACAAGCCAAGAAGUAACCCAAGUCCCAAGAUGAGAAUCCUGGUGCUCAUCUUCCUUCAUCAAGUGAAUAAUCCCACUUUUAGGGUUAAAAAAAAAAAAAACUUUCACAUCCUCCAUUUUUGGUCUAUUGCUUCUCCAUUCUUCUCUAAUCAAGUCCCACUCUGAAAAGCUCACCACUUCCUGGUGACAGCAUGACAGCUUUGAAGAGAGAUUUCAUCUGUUGAUUUCUUCUGGGUCCACCAAGACUUGAUCUUGGAAAUGAAGGCAUCCACUCCAUCUCUACCCACCAGUUUCAACCUUAGUUCCAUCAAGCAGAUACCCUGCCUGGUCCAUAGUUAGGUUUCACCAUGUAAAAUUAAUAAUAAAAAAUACUCAGCUUUCUUCAUGAAUUAUUGUGCCAAUGAUCAAGUGUUUAAUAUUAUUAUUAUUAUCUCACCACUUCUUUGAAGUCUGUCUAGGGAAUCUCCUGGUCCAGGAUAACAGUUUCCCAGAAAUCACUUUGGCAAUAAAUUCAAUUGAUGUGGAUGUGGAAGAACUGGGGCUUGAGUCUCAAAGGGUCAAGGGGUACACAGUCCUACUUUCCUGAUGGACCCUGAUAAGAAAGGAAUUUUUCCUUCCUACGUCAACUGCCUUCCUGCUCCUUACCCUCUAAGGAGCAAAGCUAAAGAUGUGAGAGGACCAAUGUGGAACUAAGAUAUUUAUUAAAAGUGCAUCCAACCUGGAGAAUGGAGACGCUAUUGACCCUCCAGCAUUGGUUCAGAGACUUCAGAGUUGUGUUUUUCAGCCUUCAUCUAACUCUCCUUUUUUUCCACCUGAUCCUUUUGGGUGACGGCAACACCCUUUUGUGAAAGAGUUGGCUUGGUCUAAGCUGCAUAGAGUACCCAGAAAAAAAGAAGAAAAGGAACUAGUCUUGCUUAUGCUGUCACAUAACCUUUACUAGACUUUAAGGCUCUUGCAGGGACAGUCCAACUAGUGGGCAGGAGACCAAUCCAUGACUUAUUUACUGUUUAUGAAUGAGCCUAGCACAGUGUUUGACCUAUAAUGGGCAACUAAUAAAUGAUAACUGACUCUGAGUAUGUCUCAUUUUUGUGAUAGUGUGUGUGGUAGCGAAAGUGGAUUUGGAAUCACGCUACAUAGGUGUAAGCGACCAAGUGGAUCGCAUGAUUCUGGGCAAAUUAUUUCCCUUGUGAUCUGCUUACUUCACCUGAACAGUAGGAAUGUUAAUAUACCCCACAGGAUUAUCUUGAGAAUGAAAAGAGAUGGUUCAUCGGAAAACACUCUAAGAGUGUUCUGCCUGUGAUACAUGUGUUUACAUACGUGUGUGUGCAUAGGGGCGGAUAUUAAAGUGUCUUUAAAUCCUGCUUUCCUCUCUUUACCAUCUUGCUCAGCAAUAGAGGUGGGCUGGUGAAUAGUUCAGGCUUUGUAACCAGAUAGACCUGGGUUCAAUAUUUGGUUCCUGUACUUGGCUGGUUGGGUGGAUUUCUAUAAGUUAUUUAAACUGUAUUCGCCUGGGUUUCUUAACAUUUAAAAUUGGCACCUACCUUGGGGUGGGGAUGUGGCUCGGUGGUAGAGUGCUUGCCUUGCAUGUGUGAGGCCCUAGAUUUAAUUCCCAGAAUCAACACACACACACACACACACACACACGUACCUAUUGCAAAGAGUUAUUUUGAUGAUGAUUCAUUGACUUUAUAUUUUCACAUGGUUUGACACAGUGCCAGACAUAUACUAAGUGUCUACUAUAUUAUUUUAAUUGUUAUUUUUAUUAUUAUUCCUCUGGCCAUUGGCAGGCCCAGGGAAGCAUCUGAAAAGUGACGUAAAAGCAUCUUCUCAUGAGGUGUAUUAUAGAUGUUGUUUCUACUAUAAGUCUUUCUUACCUGAGAAGAUUACCCCUGUCCUGAAGCUGGCAGAGUUUUUCUUAGGUCUUUCUUCAUACAUAGAGACUCCUCUUGGGAGAUUUGGGUAAAGUAUGUCUUCCCCAUUUCCUACCAAAAGUCAAAGGAAUUGCUCUUCAUUGACCCUACCAAGCAAGGGACAGGCCUGGGCAACUUCCCAGGAGCUGUACUCAGAGACUAUUCACUCUUUUAUUCCAGCAACCCCAACCCUGAAAGAGGAGGCAUCUAGUAAGGAGAAAGGAGCCCAGUGGAUACUUAGCACAGUCUGGACCUGAAGAGUAUGAGCAUGAGAAACUCACCUGCAUUUCACUCCUAGGAGCCUAGAGACCAGACUGGAGUCUUCUCUCCACUGGGGUAGGGUCCCAUGUCCUCCUUGGACUUUGUGAAAGCCUCUCCAUGCAAAUAUGUGUAUUUGCAGCUAAUAUAAUCUUGAGUUUCAGUGACCUCAUUCUCUAGUAGAGAAUAGAAGAAAUUAAUUCCUAUCUGGUCCCUAAGUCUUCAUUAAAACUGAGAACUCAAGAAAAACUUACAGAGGAUCCCCUAUUACCAAGCCAUAUUCAAGGCUCUGAAGGUCCAUGAUAACUAAGAUCCUGGUUGCCACCAUGGUGAUCCCAGUCUGGAAGGUGGGAGAAACCUUUAACAGUACAUAUAAUUCUUUUGGUGAGAUCCUUAUCGACCCUUAUCAGAUGGUAAGUUUCUAUUCCAGACUUAUCUAGCUUGUAUCAAGAAUCCUUUCAUCCCUGAGUGUAUGUAAGCAUGUUAAUUGGUGUGGAUGGACCCGUUGGGAAACAAGAAUGAGAUCUAUUCAUCAAGAUCCAGAUUGUUAGUUCCAGAGAUCCUUUGUAGUAGUUAGUGAGGAUGCCAGGCUUUUAUGGUAAUUCAUCCUCAUUGAAGACCAUGAGCUCAUUAUGUCAGGAUGCAUGGUUCCUAGAACUAUAGGAUUUAUCCUGGCCCCUACAUUUUGGGUGUUAAGAACCAAAGGGCCAAUAAAGACCUCUGCUGGGAGUGGCCUCAACCUAGUCUCAGUCUGAAGCAGGACUUCAGUUCCCAGUGCAAGGAGUUAUUUGCUUCUAAUUAUUUUCCUAUACUGCAUUUGCACAGAUUUAGAAAAUAGAAAUGGUUCAGGAAGAUGAUAUAAGGGACAAGAAAAGAUCAAAAUAGCUACUUUCUUUUACUGAAGGAAGAAUCUUUCCCACUAUCAUCCCUUCUUUAGACACCUUGGACCAAAUCAAGAUGGUUUCUACUACUCCACAUUGAUUUCUAGGCUUUUAAGCUCUCCAAUUAAAAAAAACAAAAACAAAAACCAACCUUAGCUACCAUGUACACAUGACAAAGGCUGAUCCAUUCUGAGGGAAGUACCUUCCUAUCAGAGCCUGGAAGUGAACAAGACCACAAGUCACUUAUCAGAAUGAACCUGUCAUCUGCAUGAACCCCAGGUCCUGUCAAAAUGUGAGGAAUUCUCCUGAGUACAAUCCAGACCAAAGUUGCGAUUUGAUUUGUAACCAAAAAUACUAUUUCAAACCAACUGGAAUGCAUAUAUUUUCUAACACUGGUGGCCUAGAGCAGUAAGUUUUUCCAAGAAUCGAAACAUUUGGUGCUUGUGCUUGCUCCUGCAGCAAAUAUACCAAAAAUAAGAUUAGAAUGGGACCUGCACAAGAAUGAUGUGCAAAUUCGUGAAGUGGUCCAUAUUUUUAAAAACAUCCAUUUGGUGUCAAUGUCAAGAGAAGAGGGGAUGGGAGGACGGGACAGGAUGGGCCUGAGUCUGGGUCCCAAGUCCUCUCUUCUUCCUCUGGUCAGUGGUUCUUGGCUCUUCAAGGCAGUAGCUCCUUCAUUUUUUCUCUUCUAUGUCAUUAGAAGCCUACCACCUUAGCUGGGCAUGGUGGCGCACACCUGUAAUCCCAGCAGCUCAAGAGGCUGAGGCAGGAGAAUCAUGAGUUCAAAGCCAGCCUCAGCAAUGGUGAGGCACUAAGCAACUCAGUGAGACCCUGUCUCUAAAGAAAAUACAAAAUAGGGUUGGGGAUGUGGCUCAGUGGUCAAAUGCCCCUGAGUUCAAUCCCUGGUGCCAAGAAAAAAAAAAAAGAAAUAGCCCACCACUUUACUGGACAGCUUUCCUCUGUUGACUUCAAGAAGUGGAAAAAUGAGUAGAAACAGCCAAGUUUAUGAAGGCAGGAUCCGAUUAAUGAGAGGCGUCUCUUGUGAUGUUAUCUAUAUGGUCAAAGGAGUCAGCACUGACCCUUAGCCAGAAAUCAGUGAACAAAGUCCAGCAAAGUUACAAAUAAGGGCACAAGGAGCGAUGGCUUGGUCACUGCUGAUAAAAUUCUUUACCUAUCCUCGGAUUCUUCUUAGUUGCUGUCCCCAAGGUAUGUUUUUUCUUUAGGCAUAGGACCUAAAGAAUUCUAUUCUUGAACUAGGUCCCAGCUGUCAGUUUUCCAGCUUAUUCCAAAAUUAUGAAAAUCCAAUGCAAUUUUCUGAAAAUGUAAUGAGUUCCUGUUGUUCUGUGUGCUGAGGCCAGGUAGCUCAGAGAUCCUUGGAAAGGGAAAGGGAGGUAAAAUACUUUGUGGCGUGGUGACUCUUUUCCUCCUGGAGUAGGUUGCACUUGCCCUGUGGAAGGAGAAGGAACAUCAGAUGCGUCCAUCAGUCCUGUUUGGCCUUAACAAGAUCCCACUGGUCCUUUGAGCCUUGGAAACAUUGCCCAGUACUGAAGGGAACCCUGCUGGAGAACCCAGCCAGGGCCCAAAGAGGGGCUGCUCUGUCUGUGCUUCAGAAUACCAGUUAUUACACUUGACCACUGCUUGACUUUGGGCAAGUUAUUUAACCUCUCUAAGCCUCAGCUUUUCCACUUGAAAACGGACACUGGAAUAGGAACUGUUUCACUGAGUUCUUACAGAGAUUGAAUGAGAUAACAUAUGCACUACCUGAGGUUAGUAAAUACUAACUACUGCUACUCUUAAGUCUUUGCCUUAUACCGGGUUCCUUCUGAGCUAUGUGUCAUCCUGUAAGUAGGUAAGGCACAAAGCCUCUUGGGUACCCUAAAAGAAAUGAGGCCACUGCUAAUCAAAAUCAGCCAGUGAGCAAAUGUUAAUUGUAAGAAAGACCAGAAAGGUCUCUUGUUAUCUCUUGGGCUUCUACUAUUACAUUGAUUAACUGUGAGCCAGGAAAAAAAAUGUGGGAAAAAAAAAGAAAUGUUUGUGCUCCAAUAGCUCAACCAACUUGUUGAUCUGAGGAGUCUGGGCAGGGAAGGAUCUGUGAGAAUGUGAAAGUGUGGCUAGAGCUCACUAGAGUCCAUCUUAUGGGCUUUGGGCAGCCACUGUGAGUCUUUUGUCUGAAAGGGAUCCUGUAGCUGUCUUUUCCCUGGAUUAGGAAAGGAUCAUGCCCUUCAGUCUUCUGCUAUUAAGUGAAAUACACAACCCCCUUGAAGCACCUCUUUUGGGACAGGAGGGAUAUCAAGGUUCCAUGAUACUUUUAUAACAAGUAUAUGGUAAAGUCCUUUAGUGGCUAGGAAUCUAGAUGUUUGUGAGAUAAGGCUUACUAAAGAGCUGGAACACAUUCAAAAUUCCAAAGACUGGAGAAGUGCUAGCUUCAAAGUUUCAGCCCCAGAACUCCUGGGAUGGGCUGGCUCUAUAGGAACUCCCCUUUCCAUUCCAAGUUGCAAGUGCAGCCCAAGAGUUCAACCUUGAUGUGGGACUCAAGAUGUCUCUCAAGUUCAAAAACCUAGGGGAAUCUCUGAAAGCAGACCUUGUCCAGAUCCUUUACGCAGGGCUCCAGUAAAAGUUCUGGAGGAGAAAAAGCUUAUCGCUUCUGAGCACAGAUUUGUUUUAUAAAGAAAUGAAGGAGAUGUGGACCAGAAAACAAUAUUACUCGGGAGCUCCCUCUACUGGCUCCUUGAAAGAAAUCCCAUAGCAGUCGUUACGUCUUGCCCUGUGGGUAUUAAUUUGAAGCCUCUGAGCAUCUUGUCCUUGGUACAUUGAAGCUCCGAGAAAAUAAGAUGUGCUGAGCCACCAGGAAGAUGAAACUCCGGUUUCUUCUGCCUCCUGCAUAAUUUCACUAAUGUUUGCUGGAUGCCAACACCUUUGCAUUGAGCUCAUGGCAGGGCUUGACCAUUGAGACAGCUGAGACCUGAAGAGAUUGAAUAAGCUCCUGGCAUCACAGGAGACUAGUAGAACCCUUUGUGACCCUCGUCACUCUUAGGAUUCGCCUAAGCAAGAACUCAAGAGAAGCAAGAAUCAAGGAGCAUCAUGAGACUAGAAGUGGAACUUGUUCAGGGCACAGAAUAGAAAUCAUCGUACUGGCUCUAAGAUGGCUCCAUAAGCUUUUCAGCCCUGCUGUAAAAAGAAAUCAGCCCAGUGAACUGGAAGGCAGUGCCUCUCCAUUCUGUGUUCUCACUGUGUAACCAGCAUAGUGACUAAAAAGAAGUUCCAUUAUGGAGGUGAGACCUCUAAAUUUGUGGAGCAUGUUCACACCUACUUUUUCAAAAAUAAAAUUCUGUGAGGUAGAUAGGGAGGGUAGCAGUACAUGCAUUUUAUGGUUUGGGAACUCAAGAUAUUGAGUGGCAUGUUCCAGGUUUUGGUUAGGAGCCAAUGGCAACAUUAAGAACAGACCUGUGACUCGGUAUAAGUUGUCUUUCUGGUUGGUAUUGGUUGGAAUUGAGGUCUAAGUUGGCCUUCUUAAUUACAGAAAAUAAAGGUUUUGAAACCACUCCUUUAUUUUACAAACAGAUCCUUUUCUGAGUUGCUUUUUGCCAUUUGGGGUUGGCUCAUAAUUAAGCUCCCUUCAUAUUGAGCCAUUUGAGAAUUAGAAAUUUUACAAACCACUUGUCUUUUAAAAACUGGUCUCUUAGAUAACAUUUUAGUUAUCUAGGUCCUGGGAGAACCCCAUAUAUUACUCCAAUUCUCCUUACCAUGGGAAAAUGUAAACCUUCAGCUCACCCAGGAGAACCUCAAAGCCUUUCCAUGUUGGUUCUUCCUUGGAUUUUGAGAUAUGGGUAAGUCACAGGAUUCCUAUUCCUGCUUUGGAUGGGAUGCUGUACCCUAAUUUCACUGUCAGCAUGCCUCUAAAUCUGACAAUCUGUCACAAUGUGACAGUGGCUAAAAAUAUUAUACCCAGUUCCUCUACCCCCAACUCAGGAUUUCCCAUUAGCGGCCCCUUUCUCUGUAGAUAUGAUGCUGUCAUAUCGGGAUCAGAAUGAUAUCUGACAUUAAUAACAGAGAUAACAGGAGCAAGUUUUCGUAAUGCCUUCGGAGUGUCUGGUUGAGUUGUCAUUGACUUAAACAGAGUGACUGGGUUAAAAACAUUUGUCCGUGAUGUAACCUUGGCCCUUGGCUGCCAGAGGAAGCAACUGUUGCUGGUUUGACCUGUUAGCACUACAAACUCCAGUUUGUCAAAAAUGUGACUCUUUGAUCAAUAGUUGGUCUAGACCUGCCAAUUGGGAGUAAGCUCCUAUUUGGCCAUUGACUGGUAAAGCUGACCAGCCUUGGUGGUAACCUUGAUCAUCUGCCCCUUGUGUUCUUCCCAUCCCCAUGAAGCCAAAAUGAGGCCAGUGAAGGAGGGGAGGGGAAGGCCUGGGACUCAUAUCAGAGACGGAAUGUGGAUUGCUGAUACUGUAACCCUUUCCUCUUGCUUGUUGUAGGAGCGCCAAAGACCAAGAGGAGACCAGAUGAGUUUUCAAAGCAGUCCUCACACACCCAGGAUACAUGUCAUCUUUUGCCUUGUGCUUUCUGCAAUGUUGCUGCUCACGUUCAUCUUCCUAUUAACCCUUGCCAUGAUAACCCCUUCCUGAUCACCGCCUUGCCUCCAUCUACCACCCAUUCAGCUCUUUCUCUGAGGUGCCCCUCCAGUGGGAAAUGGCUUUGAUCUUUGGCAAGCUCCCUUUUGAGUUGUACCCCAAUGGCUGUCAUUAGUUUCCCUUUCUUCUAUCUCCUCCUCGUGCCAGACAUGGCCAACAUUCAGGUAAACUGCAGCAAAUUCCCAAAAUGAAGUUUCAAGACACUCUGCCAGAGCAGUCACACUCAAUGAAGGGACCCAAGGUAUAUCUGAGUGUGAUGUCAUUGAAACCAGAUGGAAAGACCAGAAAUCCCAUAAUCCCAGUCAGAUAGAGUGAAAGAGCUUACUCGUGACUGUUUGGACUGAUUAAGAAUGUGGGGGUAGGGAGGAGGAGAAAGAGAAAGAUCCUCAGAAUUUGCCCCUGAAUACAG
This 12784-nucleotide long non-coding RNA is filed under the name Marmota monax (woodchuck). The record is from RNAcentral. Lineage: Eukaryota; Metazoa; Chordata; Mammalia; Rodentia; Sciuridae.